AGGAAGGUGGGGAGUGACGUCAAAUCAGCACGGCCCUUAUGUCCAGGGCUACACACGUGUUACAAUGGCCGGUACAGAGGGCAGCUACCUGGAGACAGGAUGCGAAUCUCGAAAGCCGGUCUCAGUUCGGAUCGGAGUCUGCAACUCGACUCCGUGAAGCUGGAUUCGCUAGUAAUCGCGCAUCAGCCAUGGCGCGGUCGAAUACGUUCCCGGGCCUU
This 218-nucleotide ribosomal RNA is filed under the name uncultured Sphingobacteriales bacterium. Its description in RNAcentral is "partial 16S ribosomal RNA". It matches the Rfam family "Bacterial small subunit ribosomal RNA", at positions 1167 to 1382 of the family's 1533-position model. The record is from RNAcentral. Lineage: Bacteria; Pseudomonadati; Bacteroidota; Sphingobacteriia; Sphingobacteriales.